This 119-nucleotide ribosomal RNA is filed under the name Lupinus angustifolius (narrow-leaved blue lupine). The record is from RNAcentral. Lineage: Eukaryota; Viridiplantae; Streptophyta; Magnoliopsida; Fabales; Fabaceae.
AGGUGCGAUCAUACAAGCAUUAACACACCUUGUCCCAUCAAAUCUCUGCAUUUAGGCGUGCCUGGGCGAGUGUAGUACUAGGACGGGUGACCUCCUAGGAAGUCCUCGUGUGGCACCUC